Molecule: long non-coding RNA, 503 nt
Filed under: Mus caroli (Ryukyu mouse)
Lineage: Eukaryota; Metazoa; Chordata; Mammalia; Rodentia; Muridae
Description: lncRNA (MGP_CAROLIEiJ_G0004808.1)
Source: RNAcentral
UUCCUGACCCCCUCCCCCCAAGCCUGGGACAGCUGCUCCGGAACUCAGCAACUGGCUGGGGAUCGAAUCCCAAUUCAGCUUUUCCAGAGGCUCGGCCAUUUCUCCAUGACGACACAGAAGUAUGGUGCUCUCAGGUCCUUACCUCAUAAUCCACAUGCAACUGGAUUACAGAGCGUUUAUGGGAUACAAGAGAAACAACAGACCAAGACCCUUGAACCUCCCGCAGAGAAGCUCUGGGCAGUUGCAUCCUUCAGGGUGUCUCUCCCUGUGUCAUUUGCUGGUUUUUCAGGGCUGGGGAUGGAACUCUGGGACUCCUGCAUGUUGGUAAGCACUCUGCCACUGAGCCACAUCCUCAAACCUCUCUCCCUUCCUAGGUGACUUUUCCCUACUUCCGUACAGUUAGACUUCUCUGUCAUCAAUGGCUUCUAAGAGGGCAGAAGUAAAAUUUGCCAACUCUCAGAGCUGGAGAGAUGGCUCAGCAGUUAAGAGCACUUGGCUGCCCU